UCCGCCCAUGUCUUUCUGCGAGUUUUUUUCCCUAUGAGUACUGCGCAUAUUUGGUCGACAGUUUCCGGCUUUUGGUUGUAUUUUUGUUAAUCAAGGAAGGAAGAUGCCCUUGUUGGGGAAGGUGCUGACAGAAGAGAGUGGGCACAGA
This 148-nucleotide microRNA precursor is filed under the name Picea abies (Norway spruce). Its description in RNAcentral is "miR156i stem-loop (pab-MIR156i)". Its record names the gene pab-MIR156i. Lineage: Eukaryota; Viridiplantae; Streptophyta; Pinopsida; Pinales; Pinaceae. The record is from miRBase by way of RNAcentral.